RNAcentral lists this ribosomal RNA (450 nucleotides) under uncultured soil bacterium. RNAcentral's name for it is "bacterial SSU rRNA". It matches the Rfam family "Bacterial small subunit ribosomal RNA", at positions 951 to 1384 of the family's 1533-position model. The record is from RNAcentral.
UAGUGAUUAACGCGAAGAACCUUACCCAGGCUUGAACAGCGAGUCACAUCCGGCGAAAGCCGGCUCCCGCAAGGGGACUCGUAGAGGUGCUGCAUGGCUGUCGUCAGCUCGUGUCGUGAGAUGUUGGGUUAAGUCCCGCAACGAGCGCAACCCUUGUCCUCUGUUGCCAUCAGGUUAUGCUGGGCACUCUGAGGAGACUGCCGGUGAUAAACCGGAGGAAGGUGGGGAUGACGUCAAGUCAGCAUGGCCUUUAUGUCUGGGGCUACACACGUGCUACAAUGGCCGGUACAAACCGUCGCGAUACCGCAAGGUGGAGCUAAUCGGAGAAAGCCGGUCUCAGUUCGGAUUGCAGGCUGCAACUCGCCUGCAUGAAGUUGGAAUCGCUAGUAAUCGCGGAUCAGCACGCCGCGGUGAAUACGUUCCCGGGCCUUGUCACACCGAAUCGAAUUC